This 2494-nucleotide long non-coding RNA is filed under the name Sus scrofa (pig). RNAcentral describes it as "lncRNA (ENSSSCG00070009734.1)". The record is from RNAcentral. Lineage: Eukaryota; Metazoa; Chordata; Mammalia; Artiodactyla; Suidae.
UUCUCUGUUCCAGAUGUGCCUCUGGCCCAGGGCUUUACAGCCGUAUGGCCUGGUCACCCCCGCGUGCACCCUGACCCUGGAUCCCCCAGGAGUCGCGCAGACCAGGUGCUCCCGGGGGCACAGGUGGGAGGCAGGCCACGGAGACAGAUAGGUAAGGAGUAGGCUUUCGGGGGUGGCGAGGGUGGAAAGGAAGCUGUGGGGGCCGCCAGGUCCGGGGCAGGGGCGGGCCGCAGCUCUGGGAGUGAGAGUGGGAGCCCUGGGGCUCCUGGCUCAGAAGCAGCCCAAGGGAGUUCCCCUUGUGGCUCAGCGGGUUCCGAACUCAAGGACCCAGGUUCGAUGCCUGGCCUCACUCAGGGGGUUAAGGAUCUGGCAUUGCUGAGAGCUGCGAGGCGUGGGUCGCAGAUGCGGCUCGGAUCCCGUGUUGCUGUCAUCGUGUGGAGACCGGCAGCUGCAGCUCCAGUUCAACCCCCGGCCUGGGAACUUCCUAUGUUGCAGGAGAGACCCUAAAAAGCCAAAAAAAGAAAGAAAGAAAAAGAAAAGGAAAGCAGAGGCCCUGAGACAGAAGUCGACUGUGUUCCAGAGACGCUAGGCUGGGGUGCUGGACGGGGAGGGGGGUGCAGGCCACACAGACCACGGUCCUGGGAAUCAGUGGCUCUGGAGGGAGAGGGAGGCCCCCAGCUGGACCGUCCGAAUGGAUCUCAUUGGGAAUCGGGUCCUUGUGGACAUAAUUCAGACUUUUUCCACUUUCAGAGAGAUGUGGUCACUUCAACAUCCCGGUGCGUGACCGGCUUCUUUCCCUCAAGCACCGGUGGCGCUGUCCCAUCACGCGAGGUCCAUUUGGUCCUUUGGCAGCAGCUUCUGACAGGUGUGGCGUCUGGGUGUCGCGUGGGUGUACUGACCAGGCCAGUGGGUGGACACUGGGCCGCCAAGAGGGUGCCUGCACUUUUGCACCUUUGGGGUCACACCGUCGGAGUGGGGGCUGGGUCAGAGGUGGGGCACAGCUCACGGCAUGGAGGGUCUUCCUGGACAGCCCCCUCCCCACAAUGGGGGGGAGCUCACAGAGCGGAGGGGGGGCGGCUGGAGGCCCUGGAGGAAGGCCAGCAUUGGGCAGGUCCUGCUGGAAUCCAGCCCUGGUUUGAUGUUCCCUUUGACGGUCUGCCUAUAGGACACUUUGGUCUGCAGCAGCCAGUAGCCCAGCUUCCACUCCGGGGAAAGAGCGUCUCUCCGGCACCAUCAGGGGCAGCCUUGACCUGGCAGGUCAGGGAGGCCAGUGGGAGCCUGACGCAUCCACCCAAACGCACCCCCUGGCUGUGCACCCAUCUGUCGUCCCCCAGCCUGUCCUCUCCUCUCAGGGGGCGGGCACCACUCUGCACACUGACCCCCUUCCCUUGCUCACCCUUCAUCCAUCCUUCACGCUUUUUAUUUUAUUUUUUGUCUUUUGUUAUUUUCAGGGCUGCACCUGCAGCAUAUGGAGGUUCCCAGGCUAGGCGUUGAAUCAGAGCUGUAGCUGCCCGGCCACAGCCAUGCCAGAUCCAAUUCGCAUGUGCGACCUACGCCACAGCUCACGGCAAUGCCGGGUCCUGAACCCACCGAGCAAGGCCGGGGAUCGAACCCGCAACCUCAUGGUUCCUGGUUGGAUUCGCUUCCGCUGUGCCACGAUGGGAACUCCCACUCUUUCCAUCCUCUCGCCCAGCCACCCACAUCAGUUAUUCGUGUGUAGCCAACAACCUCAACGCUUAGUGGCUUUGAAAAGUAAGGAACAGGCGCGGGGGAGCAAGCAAGAGUUUAAAGAAUGGUGGAGACACGUCCAAGAAGACAGGAGCCAGCUCCCCACUGACCAACUUGUAGGCAAGCUGAUCAUCAAACAGACAGUGACAGUAAAAGCUUAUAAUCUACGGGGCAAAGUAAGAGCCCUGAGUCCAAAGCAAUGGGGAAAAAAAUGAAUCCACGGAGAAGAUGCAGCAGCUCUCGCGAGAAUGCCAGCUCAGCGAGCACCUCGGGCCAGGUACCACCACCACCACCCCCUGAUCCAGACCCCAGCCAUGGGGGAGCGGACGUGAGCCAGUGAGGGCUCGAGGGGGAGGACAGCCUCUGCCUGGCCUCAGGCUGUGCCCCACUGACGCCUCAGGCACGUCUGUGCAGAGAGGAGAGAUGCAGCAGGCACCUCCUUAACCGCGCCCUCGACCUUGCCGCCAGGCUGAGGUCGGCGGUAAAGGGCCACACUCACAUCCUGUGCCUCGUGACACGGCGCCCAAAGAAGCCCUGAGCCGCGGCCACGACAACCCCCGAUCCUUCACCAGGUUCCCGGGAAUUGCAUCAACAGCCUUGUUGAGGCAGGACUCAGAACCCAUCAAGUUCCCCCUUUGAAAGCGGCUUUUCGCGCCUUCGCAGCUGCAUAUCCGUCUCAACGCGCAAGUUCCAGAACCUUCCCACCCCCAAGGAAACCCCGGGCCCUCGAGCAGCCUCCCCGUUUCCCCCUCUCCCGGCCUGGGGA